GAAACAUUUACCUUCCAAGACACAUUAUGAGUUAUCAAUUACACAUAAAGACACAUUGGGUCAAGAGAGCACUUUCUUAUGCUCAUUUGUCUGAAUUGCCCUUCAACUAGAGAGAAGGUGUCGGUAACAUUUGUCAAAAUUCUUUUCAAUAUUCUCUAUAAUUAAUUCCAUUCAACUUUCACCUUUUGGUUUCAUAUUUCUUAAUUCCCUAAACUCAAUCUUGCCUCAAUCUAUCGUCAUCUUCAUCUCUCAUCUUUCGUAUCCUUCUAAAGCUUCUUCUUCUUCACAAAAUUUGUAGAUUUUUUUAUAAUUCUAAAUCACUAAUUUCUGUUUGUCGCUUUAUCUUUCACUACUUACUGUUUUAAAUCUGGAAAUCAUGGAAACCUCAGAUUGAGGCUAAGGAAAAUCUAUUAUGAAAUCUCAGAUUGGGAAAUUCCAGAUCUUUACCGAAUAUAUCCAAGGUUUGCUUUUAACUGAACUAUGAGAAUUUCAUAUACAUAUUUUUUUCCCUCUUUCAUACUUGUUUCUAAUUGAUAUACAAGAAGAUAAGAAAUAGAUAAAAAUUUGAUUUUCUUCUUAAGCAUACAUAGAAGCCUAUGUCUCUCCUGCAACAUUUGAUUCACAUGUCGCCCAUGCUUUUCAUGUCCAACAAUUUCCUUGUCCACAAAUGGGCUAUCCAUAAAGCUGUCGUCCAUGAAUUUCAUGUCCACCAAGCUCGUAUCCAUCCAUAUCCUCCCCAUCGUUCUCUUACCCACCAAUCUCAUAUCUGCAUCUCUCUUGUAUAUCAAUUUUUGGAUAUGACUUAACUAUGUGUGUGAGGUAACUAUUAUCUAAACGGUGGUAUAUUUUGAGUUAAGUGUGACUUCUCCCUGUUUGUAAGCAAAUAAGGGUUUGGAAGAUAGUCUCUUGUUGUUGCAUCUGUUGCUAAUGUUGUUCAGACAUGAACUAUGGAGUUCACUUCCAAGUUAAGUUGGUAGCUUCCAUGUUUGGUAUCUAAUUGGCACUAUACAAAAGUCUGGGACAGUUCACAAUA
Molecule: long non-coding RNA, 1033 nt
Organism: Brassica napus (rape)
Lineage: Eukaryota; Viridiplantae; Streptophyta; Magnoliopsida; Brassicales; Brassicaceae
Exons: 2
Source: RefSeq, a predicted model, not a curated record